Equus asinus (donkey) is the source of this 68-nucleotide small nucleolar RNA. Lineage: Eukaryota; Metazoa; Chordata; Mammalia; Perissodactyla; Equidae. The record is from Ensembl.
AUACUAUGAUGGUUGCUGAGUUCAGCAGAUUGAAUCGUGAAGAAAUAUACCAUUUGUCUAAUGUAUCU